RNAcentral lists this non-coding RNA (29 nucleotides) under Homo sapiens (human). Lineage: Eukaryota; Metazoa; Chordata; Mammalia; Primates; Hominidae. The record is from RNAcentral.
UGUGGUUUGAUGGAAAAGAACGAGGCUUC